GACGAACGCUGGCGGCGUGCUUAACACAUGCAAGUCGAACGGAAAGGCCCUGCUUUUGUGGGGUGCUCGAGUGGCGAACGGGUGAGUAACACGUGAGUAACCUGCCCUUGACUUUGGGAUAACUUCAGGAAACUGGGGCUAAUACCGGAUAGGAGCUCCUGCUGCAUGGUGGGGGUUGGAAAGUUUCGGCGGUUGGGGAUGGACUCGCGGCUUAUCAGCUUGUUGGUCGGGUAGUGGCUUACCAAGGCUUUGACGGGUAGCCGGCCUGGGAGGGUGACCGGCCACAUGGGGACUGAGAUACGGACCAGACUGCUACGGUAGGCAGUGGUGGGGAAUAUUGCGGAAUGGGCGGGAGCCUGAGGCAGCGGCGCCGCGUGCGGAAUGCCGGCCUUCGGGUUGUAAACCGCUUUCGCCUGUGACGAAGCGUGAGUGACGGUAAUGGGUAAAGAAGCACCGGCUAACUACGUG
RNAcentral lists this ribosomal RNA (468 nucleotides) under uncultured bacterium. Its description in RNAcentral is "partial 16S ribosomal RNA". It matches the Rfam family "Bacterial small subunit ribosomal RNA", at positions 28 to 507 of the family's 1533-position model. The record is from RNAcentral.